This 431-nucleotide ribosomal RNA is filed under the name uncultured bacterium. RNAcentral's name for it is "bacterial SSU rRNA". It matches the Rfam family "Bacterial small subunit ribosomal RNA", at positions 354 to 776 of the family's 1533-position model. The record is from RNAcentral.
GUGGGGAAUUUUGGGCAAUGGGCGCAAGCCUGACCCAGCAACGCCGCGUGAGGGAUGAAGGUUUUCGGAUCGUAAACCUCUGUCAGGAGGGAAGAGCAGUCCCAUGGCCAAUACCCAUGGGACCCGACGGUACCUCCAAAGGAAGCGCCGGCUAACUCCGUGCCAGCAGCCGCGGUAAUACGGAGGGCGCAAGCGUUGUUCGGAAUUACUGGGCGUAAAGCGCGUGUAGGCGGUUUGGAAAGUCGGGUGUGAAAUCCCCGGGCCUAACCCGGGAACUGCAUCCGAAACUUCCUGACUAGAGUCCCGGAGAGGAAGGCAGAAUUCCCAGUGUAGGGGUGAAAUCCGUAGAUAUUGGGAGGAAUACCAGUGGCGAAGGCGGCCUUCUGGACGGUGACUGACGCUGAGACGCGAAAGCGUGGGGAGCAAACAGG